GGACGAACGCUGGCGGUAUGCUUAACACAUGCAAGUCGAACGAAAAGGAAGAGCUUGCUCUUCCUGAAAGUGGCGAACGGGUGAGUAACGCGUGGGUAACCUACCCUUUGGAAAGGAAUAGCCUCGGGAAACUGGGAGUAAUGCCUUAUAAGAUACGUUUGUCGCAUGGCAUUUGUAUUAAACGCUCCGGCGCCAUAGGAUGGACCCGCGUCCCAUUAGCUAGUUGGUGAGAUAACAGCUCACCAAGGCCACGAUGGGUAACCGGUCUGAGAGGGCGAACGGUCACACUGGAACUGAGACACGGUCCAGACUCCUACGGGAGGCAGCAGUGGGGAAUAUUGCGCAAUGGGGGCAACCCUGACGCAGCAAUACCGCGUGAGUGAAGAAGGUUUUCGGAUCGUAAAGCCCUGUUAUUGGGGAAGAAAAAAAGACGGUACCCAAGAAGAAAGUUCCGGCUAACUACGUGCCAGCAGCCGCGGUAAUACGUAGGGAACAAGCGUUGUCCGGAUUUACUGGGCGUAAAGGGCACGCAGGCGGUUUUUUAAGUCAGAUGUGAAAGGCCACAGCUCAACUGUGGACAUGCAUUUGAAACUGAAAGACUUGAGUAUUGGAGAGGCAAGUGGAAUUCCUAGUGUAGCGGUGAAAUGCGUAGAUAUUAGGAGGAACACCGGUGGCGAAGGCGGCUUGCUGGACAAAUACUGACGCUGA
RNAcentral lists this ribosomal RNA (708 nucleotides) under uncultured bacterium. RNAcentral describes it as "bacterial SSU rRNA". It matches the Rfam family "Bacterial small subunit ribosomal RNA", at positions 27 to 749 of the family's 1533-position model. The record is from RNAcentral.